Molecule: ribosomal RNA, 409 nt
Filed under: uncultured bacterium
Lineage: Bacteria
Description: bacterial SSU rRNA
Rfam family: Bacterial small subunit ribosomal RNA
Source: RNAcentral
AACGAACGCUGGCGGCAUGCCUAACACAUGCAAGUCGAACGAGACCUUCGGGUCUAGUGGCGCACGGGUGCGUAACACGUGGGAAUUUGCCUCGGGGUAUGGAAUAACUCAGGGAAACUUGAGCUAAUACCAUAUAAUGUCUUCGGACCAAAGAUUUAUCGCCCUGAGAUAAGCCCGCGUAGGAUUAGCUAGUUGGUGGGGUAAAGGCUCACCAAGGCGACGAUCCUUAGCUGGUCUGAGAGGAUGAUCAGCCACACUGGGACUGAGACACGGCCCAGACUCCUACGGGAGGCAGCAGUGGGAAUAUUGGACAAUGGGCGAAAGCCUGAGUCCAGCAAUGCCGCGUGAGUGAUGAAGGCCUUCGGGUUGGUUAAAGGACUCUUUUUACCCGUACGAUGAUAAUGACAGU